This 60-nucleotide microRNA precursor is filed under the name Euprymna scolopes. RNAcentral's name for it is "Esc-Novel-63_pre stem-loop". Lineage: Eukaryota; Metazoa; Mollusca; Cephalopoda; Sepiida; Sepiolidae. The record is from RNAcentral.
AUCCAGAUGUCAGGCUGGUCCUAUAAAGAAUACCACUGGAAAGUCUCCCAUCUCGGGUCG